Molecule: ribosomal RNA, 410 nt
Filed under: uncultured bacterium
Lineage: Bacteria
Description: bacterial SSU rRNA
Rfam family: Bacterial small subunit ribosomal RNA
Source: RNAcentral
GAUGAACGCUGGCGGCGUGCCUAAUACAUGCAAGUCGAACGCACAGCGAAAGGUGCUUGCACCUUUCAAGUGAGUGGCGAACGGGUGAGUAACACGUGGAUAACCUACCUCAAGGUUGGGGAUAACAUUUGGAAACAGAUGCUAAUACCGAAUAAAACUUAGUAUCGCAUGAUGCCAGGUUAAAAGGCGCUACGGCGUCACCUAGAGAUGGAUCCGCGGUGCAUUAGUUAGUUGGUGGGUAAAGGCUUACCAAGACAAUGAUGCAUAGCCGAGUUGAGAGACUGAUCGGCCACAUUGGGACUGAGACACGGCCCAAACUCCUACGGGAGGCUGCAGUAGGGAAUCGUUCCACAAUGGGCGAAAGCCUGAUGGAGCAACGCCGCGUGUGUGGAUGAAGGCUUUCGGGUCGU